GUACUCGCUUCGGCAGUACAUAUACUAAAAUUGGAACGAUACAGAGAAGAUUAGCAUGGCCCCUGCGCAAGGAUGACACGCGGGGUACAUGUCAGUCACUUCCUCGUG
Small nuclear RNA from Vanessa tameamea, 108 nucleotides. NCBI's taxonomy places the organism in Eukaryota, Metazoa, Arthropoda, Insecta, Lepidoptera, Nymphalidae. The record is from RefSeq and is a predicted model, not a curated record.